This 253-nucleotide ribosomal RNA is filed under the name uncultured bacterium. Its description in RNAcentral is "partial 16S ribosomal RNA". It matches the Rfam family "Bacterial small subunit ribosomal RNA", at positions 524 to 776 of the family's 1533-position model. The record is from RNAcentral.
UACGAAGGGGGCAAGCGUUGUUCGGAAUUACUGGGCGUAAAGGGCGCGUAGGCGGCUUAUCAAGUCAGGCGUGAAAUUCCCGGGCUCAACCUGGGGGCUGCGCUUGAUACUGAUUGGCUUGAAUGCGGGAGAGGAUAGUGGAAUUCCCAGUGUAGAGGUGAAAUUCGUAGAGAUGUGGAGGAACACCGAUGGCGAAGGCAGCCCCCUGGGACGAUACUGACGCUGGGGCACGAAAGCGUGGGGAGCAAACAGG